UGGGGAAUAUUGCACAAUGGAGGGAACUCUGAUGCAGCGACGCCGCGUGAGUGAUGAAGGAAUUCGUUUCGUAAAACUCUGUUCUAUGGGAAGAAAAGGACUGUACCAUAGGAGAAAGCUCCGGCUAAAUACGUGCCAGCAGCCGCGGUAAUACGUAUGGAGCGAGCGUUGUCCGGAAUUAUUGGGCGUAAAGGGUGCGCAGGCGGAAAUGCAAGUCAGGUGUAAAAGGCAGUAGCUUAACUACUGUAAGCAUUUGAAACUGCAUAUCUUGAGAAGAGUAGAGGUAAGUGGAAUUUUUAGUGUAGCGGUGAAAUGCGUAGAUAUUAAAAAGAAUACCGGUGGCGAAGGCGACUUACUGGGCUCAUUCUGACGCUGAGGAACGAAAGCGUGGGUAGCAAACAGG
This 403-nucleotide ribosomal RNA is filed under the name Fusobacteriota bacterium. RNAcentral describes it as "Fusobacteria bacterium partial 16S ribosomal RNA". It matches the Rfam family "Bacterial small subunit ribosomal RNA", at positions 355 to 776 of the family's 1533-position model. Lineage: Bacteria; Fusobacteriati; Fusobacteriota. The record is from RNAcentral.